GACGAACGCUGGCGGCGUACUUUAUACAUGCAAGUCGAACGAUGAAGUUCCUUCGGGAAUGGAUUAGUGGCGAACGGGUGAGGAACACGUGAGAAACCUGCCUUUCAUUCUGGGAUAACACCGGGAAACCGGUGCUAAUACCGGAUACUCCGUCUUGGCGGCAUCGCCGAGCCGGGAAAAAAUUUUGAUGAAAGAUGGUCUCGCGGCCUAUCAGCUAGUUGGUGAGGUAAUAGCUCACCAAGGCGACGACGGGUAGCCGGCCUGAGAGGGCGACCGGCCACACUGGGACUGAGACACGGCCCAGACUCCUACGGGAGGCAGCAGUAGGGAAUAUUGGGCAAUGGGCGCAAGCCUGACUCAGCGACGCCGCGUGAGGGAUGAAGGUCUUCGGAUUGUAAACCUCUUUCAGUAGGGAAGAAGCGAAAGUGACGGUACCUAAAGAAGAAGCACCGGCUAACUAUGUGCCAGCAGCCGCCGUAA
RNAcentral lists this ribosomal RNA (480 nucleotides) under uncultured bacterium. Its description in RNAcentral is "partial 16S ribosomal RNA". It matches the Rfam family "Bacterial small subunit ribosomal RNA", at positions 28 to 523 of the family's 1533-position model. The record is from RNAcentral.